RNAcentral lists this ribosomal RNA (555 nucleotides) under Cryptosporidium bovis. RNAcentral describes it as "SSU rRNA". It matches the Rfam family "Eukaryotic small subunit ribosomal RNA", at positions 151 to 761 of the family's 1831-position model. The record is from RNAcentral. Lineage: Eukaryota; Apicomplexa; Conoidasida; Eucoccidiorida; Cryptosporidiidae.
GGUAAUUCUAGAGCUAAUACAUGCGAAAAAACCCGACUUCUCGGAAGGGUUGUAUUUAUUAGAUAAAGAACCAAUAUUUUUGGUGACUCAUAAUAACUUUACGGAUCACAUUAUGUGACAUAUCAUUCAAGUUUCUGACCUAUCAGCUUUAGACGGUAGGGUAUUGGCCUACCGUGGCUAUGACGGGUAACGGGGAAUUAGGGUUCGAUUCCGGAGAGGGAGCCUGAGAAACGGCUACCACAUCUAAGGAAGGCAGCAGGCGCGCAAAUUACCCAAUCCUAAUACAGGGAGGUAGUGACAAGAAAUAACAAUACAGAACCUUACGGUUUUGUAAUUGGAAUGAGUUAAGUAUAAACCCCUUAACAAGUAUCAAUUGGAGGGCAAGUCUGGUGCCAGCAGCCGCGGUAAUUCCAGCUCCAAUAGCGUAUAUUAAAGUUGUUGCAGUUAAAAAGCUCGUAGUUAAUCUUCUGUUAAUUUUUAUAUAUAAUAUCACGAUAUUUAUAUAAUAUUAACAUAAUUCAUAUUACUUUUUAGUAUAUGAAACUUUACUUUGAG